AGGCCGUCGGCGAGGAGCAACGAGGGCGCGGCCCGACUUGCCAACCCUGGUGCCCCCAGCCGCGGGGCUGCAGCGAGAGCAACUUCACAGCAUUGCCCAUCUGUUGUUAAAACGAUACAAAGCUUGCCUGCGUCACUGUUAUCUUGGCACAAGGCUGGUUGGAUGACUUAGAAGACUUUAUAAAUCGUUAGCGCAGAAAUGAACUUCUCUGGCAAAAUGGUGAACAGGUUUAGAGGCUGGACGUCAAAUAAGGUACUGCUGGAAAAGAGGCGGUACCGACAGAAACCAGUCACUUUAGAAUGGCCAUGGCUAACAACGGGAAUUAGAGAACUGGUUUUGGCACCCACCUUGGAUUCUAUAGCAGGAUUCCAACAUAAAGGUAAGCCUGGAUUUCUUUAACUAUGGUUUGAUGAAUAGCUUAUAGAGGCCUGGUUCAUACAUAACUCUAAGGCAUGAAAAUGAAUUCAUACAUUAUGCUAAAUAAAAAA
Non-coding RNA from Python bivittatus (Burmese python), 488 nucleotides. Lineage: Eukaryota; Metazoa; Chordata; Lepidosauria; Squamata; Pythonidae. The record is from RefSeq and is a predicted model, not a curated record.